Molecule: transfer RNA, 84 nt
Filed under: Acidobacteriota bacterium
Lineage: Bacteria; Pseudomonadati; Acidobacteriota
Also listed under: 1 other name
Description: Acidobacteria bacterium tRNA-Leu
Rfam family: tRNA
About the family: Transfer RNA (tRNA) molecules are approximately 80 nucleotides in length. Their secondary structure includes four short double-helical elements and three loops (D, anti-codon, and T loops).
Source: RNAcentral
GCGAUUGUGGCGUAAUGGGUAGCCGCGACGGCUUGAGAGGCCGUUGGUGGAAACACCGUGGAAGUUCGAAUCUUCUCAGUCGCA